This 460-nucleotide ribosomal RNA is filed under the name uncultured bacterium. Its description in RNAcentral is "bacterial SSU rRNA". It matches the Rfam family "Bacterial small subunit ribosomal RNA", at positions 30 to 507 of the family's 1533-position model. The record is from RNAcentral.
AUUGAACGCUGGCGGCAUGCCUUACACAUGCAAGUCGAACGGUAACGGGCCUUCGGGUGCCGACGAGUGGCGAACGGGUGAGUAAUGCAUCGGAACGUACCUUUCAGUGGGGGAUAACGUAGCGAAAGUUGCGCUAAUACCGCAUAUUCUCUCCGGAGGAAAGCAGGGGACCGCAAGGCCUUGCGCUCAUUGAGCGGCCGAUAUCAGAUUAGCUAGUUGGUGGGGUAAAAGCUCACCAAGGCGACGAUCUGUAGCGGGUCUGAGAGGAUGAUCCGCCACACUGGAACUGAGACACGGUCCAGACUCCUACGGGAGGCAGCAGUGGGGAAUAUUGCACAAUGGGCGAAAGCCUGAUGGAGCGACGCCGCGUGAGCGAAGAAGGCCUUCGGGUUGUAAAGCUCUGUCUGGAGGGACGAAGGAAGUGACGGUACCUCCGGAGGAAGCCACGGCUAACUACGUG